This 953-nucleotide long non-coding RNA is filed under the name Equus caballus (horse). RNAcentral's name for it is "lncRNA (ENSECAG00000047105.1)". The record is from RNAcentral. Lineage: Eukaryota; Metazoa; Chordata; Mammalia; Perissodactyla; Equidae.
CUAACUGCCACCAAGGCUUCACCCCGGCCCAAGCUUACCCCAAACCCAGACACUUGGGAUUAUAUAGAGAUUCAAGAGCAGUCAAGGAUGCCAGGGAAUCCAGUCAGGCAUGUCUCCCCUCCCCAUUUUGCUUUUAUUUAUGUUCACAGAACCAACGGGUUAAAAAAAAAACGCUGAGUUUCUGGAUCCAGUUCCGGCUUUUUGAAGGAUACCCUCAUCCCCUGAUUCUGCUCACGACACAAUGCCCACAGGGUUCAGGAGCAACCACAGGUAUCCCCAAAGAUCCUGACCUGAGAAUAAAUACCUCCACAAUACUAAACCAGUUUCAGAGUGCCGGUCCUCGAACACUACCUUCUGGAGGAAUCUGCCUCAUUGACAGGUGCUGCGGUCCUCAUCCGUCAUUUCUUUACCAUCUGACUCUGACCACAGGUAAUUGGGCCAGAAGUGACAUUUGACCUACUGGGGAGACCAUCCAUAAACCGUCCAGCAACCUCUAUCUUAUAUGAUCUGGCUUUAAAAAAUGAGCCAGACCAGUCUGGUUCCUCUCUUGAGAAUUCAAACUAAAAGCCUGCCAAGGAAAUUGUCAGAUGGCGGCGGGAGCGGCACUACCAUUGAAAAUCCAAACCGAACUGAGACGAGGGUGGCCAUUACGGCCCAUGUGCAAGGCAAAUGCAGAUCUACACCAGGGCUGGAAGUGUGGCCAGUGAGGAUGAUCUGAAUUUGAGCCCUGCUCCCCCUGGGCUGGAUGCCUUUUUGCAGUGGACUGCCUGCCAGAUGGUAUGUGGCUACUCUGUCCUCUAGGUUCUAGAACUUCCCUUCAAGCUGGUAGGAAUGGGCCAUCUUCAGUGAUACGAUGGGAUAUAAUAGGAGCACAUCCAGGCCAAGCAUUCCAUCAUGAACACCCAGGCUAAAGACAUAUUGAGAUUUCCUCUUAUCAUCACAAAGAGUAAGCC